Molecule: ribosomal RNA, 379 nt
Filed under: uncultured bacterium
Lineage: Bacteria
Description: bacterial SSU rRNA
Rfam family: Bacterial small subunit ribosomal RNA
Source: RNAcentral
UAGUAUCAGCGUGCCAGCCGCCGCGGUAAUACGUAGGGCGCAAGCGUUGUCCGGAAUUAUUGGGCGUAAAGAGCUCGUAGGCGGCUUGUCACGUCGGGUGUGAAAGCCCGGGGCUUAACCCCGGGUCUGCAUUCGAUACGGGCUAGCUAGAGUGUGGUAGGGGAGAUCGGAAUUCCUGGUGUAGCGGUGAAAUGCGCAGAUAUCAGGAGGAACACCGGUGGCGAAGGCGGAUCUCUGGGCCAUUACUGACGCUGAGGAGCGAAAGCGUGGGGAGCGAACAGGAUUAGAUACCCUGGUAGUCCACGCCGUAAACGGUGGGAACUAGGUGUUGGCGACAUUCCACGUCGUCGGUGCCGCAGCUAACGCAUUAAGUUCCCCG